This 497-nucleotide ribosomal RNA is filed under the name uncultured bacterium. Its description in RNAcentral is "partial 16S ribosomal RNA". It matches the Rfam family "Bacterial small subunit ribosomal RNA", at positions 28 to 507 of the family's 1533-position model. The record is from RNAcentral.
GACGAACGCUGGCGGCGCGCCUAAUACAUGCAAGUUGAGCGCUGAAGGUUGGUACUUGUACCAACUGGAUGAGCAGCGAACGGGUGAGUAACGCGUGGGGAAUCUGCCUUUGAGCGGGGGACAACAUUUGGAAACGAAUGCUAAUACCGCAUAAAAACUUUAAACACAAGUUUUAAGUUUGAAAGAUGCAAUUGCAUCACUCAAAGAUGAUCCCGCGUUGUAUUAGCUAGUUGGUGAGGUAAAGGCUCACCAAGGCGAUGAUACAUAGCCGACCUGAGAGGGUGAUCGGCCACAUUGGGACUGAGACACGGCCCAAACUCCUACGGGAGGCAGCAGUAGGGAAUCUUCGGCAAGGGACGAAAGUCUGACCGAGCAACGCCGCGUGAGUGAAGAAGGUUUUCGGAUCGUAAAACUCUGUUGGUAGAGAAGAACGUUGGUGAGAGUGGAAAGCUCAUCAAGUGACGGUAACUACCCAGAAAGGGACGGCUAACUACGUG